GCGUACUCAGUGACAGCUCUGUCUAGCAACAGUGGCCGAAUGUUUCCGACAGAAGGUGGCUGGAUUCUGCAUUGUAAAAUAGAGUAUUGAAAGGAAGCGUGUAGCUAAGACCUCCUGAAAAGAGAUUAUUGAUUGAAAGAAGAGAGCUAGACCUGUGACUUGGAAAAGCCAACAUCCAGUGAGUGAGUGUGUCUGUUCCUGAAACUAAUAAUUGAAACAACCAAUCUGCAGAAAAACUCUUGCUUGGUUUUUGUCUAAGGGGGAUCUAGGGUGGAGCUGAGAAGGCCUACCUUCAAUAUUAAUCAUGUGGGGAAGAAUAUGACCUUGAGUACUGUAUAAAUGCUAUUUUCUAACCGUGGGGUGUGUAUAUUUCCCCUUAACAGAUGGAUUCCUAGAGACUCAAGAAUGCCAACAACCUACCUUAAGCCCAUAUACAACAUACACGGUCCCCCAAACAUAUUAGGAGAAUGUUGACUUUUGUCAUUGACACCUUCUUACCUUCUCUGUCAGUCCUUCCCACCACUAUCUUGACACCCCUCCCCUCUUAGAAUUAGUGGCUUCACAAGAAAAACAUAUCCCAGUUACUUAUCACAUUUGAUUAAACACCUCACCCUGAAGUGUAAAUAUCUCAGUGGCUCCUCCUUUUGCAGAGAUAUUUGCACCCUUUAGCUCUAUACAACCCUCUCAAACAGUGGAAUUUCAGCUAUCAGAGAACGGCAGAUAAGGUGGAUAUUUUGGGAAGGAGGACUUCCCCAAAGUCUAUUUCUCAAAUCAAAUCACUUUGGGACAAUUAUGACAGUGAUUUAUUAAAGUAAAAAGGCUAUUACUUUGUUCUUGCCACAUAAAAUGUCUCUGGGGGGAAUUCCAAAGUCAAGAAUGAUCUGUUUGUGAAGUAAUCCUAGUAACGUGUGGAAUUUUCAUAGUGAUUUUUUUUUCUUGCAAAAGCUAAAUGUUGAAGAAAAAUGCAGGAAACUGGCAAUUAGAAUUAAGAAAAAUAAUUUUGUAUUAGAUUAUAUUGCUGUUCUCAAUUAUUCAUGCCUCCUUGGCCUGUAAGAAUAUGUACCAUCAUCUGUUGCUAUGUGAUUUCUGUGCUUUUCCAAGGGAG
This 1105-nucleotide long non-coding RNA is filed under the name Homo sapiens (human). Its description in RNAcentral is "non-protein coding lnc-JAG1-10:1". The record is from RNAcentral. Lineage: Eukaryota; Metazoa; Chordata; Mammalia; Primates; Hominidae.